Molecule: unclassified non-coding RNA, 272 nt
Filed under: Hevea brasiliensis (rubber tree)
Lineage: Eukaryota; Viridiplantae; Streptophyta; Magnoliopsida; Malpighiales; Euphorbiaceae
Source: RNAcentral
GCAAUCUCGGAACAGCACUCGCAGUCAACACGCUCGGCGCUGCGCUUGCGCCGAUCCUGUUCGGCCCCCUGCUCAUUCCGCUAGUUGGUACCAAACCCGCCUUCGUCCUGAUCGCACUCGCGUAUCUUCUCGUCCUGCCAGACGUUCACCGGCGUACCAUCGGAUUGGCUGCCGUGGCGUCGGCAGCAGCAAUCGCGCUGACCUUUUCUCCGCUCUCGUUGCGCUUUGUGAAAACGCCGCCCGGCGGAGAACUGGUGUGGCACCGUGACGGC